UUACCAGCUCUGAAGUUUUAUAAGCAGUCAUGCAACAUUUUUUGUCUUGCUUUUUAUGUACAUUCAAAUAUUCACUAGCAUUUAACCUAGACUUCAUAGAAGACUCCCUGCAGAAAAGUAACAGCAGAGACAAAAGUGAGAACUUACACUUUCUCAUCCUGCUUAUUUCAGUUAGGCAUUCUCAUUGUGAUAGUCUUACAGUGGUUCUUAAAAAAAAAAAAAAAGUGAGGUUUCUAAAUGUUUUCUUAAAAUUUGUAAAAAUAAAUACCAGCAUGUUAAAUAAAUAUAAAUAAUGUUUAAAUUCAUUUAAGGAUAUAUACACAGAAUUUCAGACCAGCUUAUGUAAAUCAGUGCUGAAAUAUUUAAAUUACAUCAGUUCAAUACCUAACUGAAAGCAAACUCAGUUGCAAUUUAUAUGAGUGAGAACUACGUUGUGUUCUAACUUUCAAGGAUUAGAAUUGCCCAACUUAACAUUAUGUAAUUUUUUGCACAUAAUAUAUUUCAUGAAUCAUUAACGUAGAAAACAGUAAUUGGGGGGGAGGAAUUUGAUUUCAAAUUUCACACUAUGGGUGUGUAAAAUUGGUUCUUUAUCUGAGACUAUGUUAGGACAUAUACAAAUUACCUCCAAAUACACAAGUAAUUCCAGCUGUGAUUAUAAUCCAUAAUCUUUAACAACUUGCAAAUCCUUUAAAAUAUCCGUUAUCAACAUGGGCUUUCAAAAUUGCAUUUAUACAUGAUAACUGCCUGGUUUAGCAGCAUAAUGAAAAAAUGUUUUAUGGUAUGAAGAACUUCUUUCUUAAUAUGAAGCCAUUAGAGUUCUGAGAAAUUACUGUGGGCUCUCAUUUUUUUAGAACUGACUGUUGGAAAUUUUUCCAGGUGUAUUUUCACUUUUAUCAUUGUUGAUUUUUGUGUUUGUUGCAUAUUUUCAUGGAGCUCUGUUUGUGUUUAUAUUUAUAUUGUAUGUUUAUUCUUUCCUUUAUGGAGACUAGCAGAUCUAAACUAUUGUGUGCCUUAAAAAUAAAAUAACUAGGAUGAUAAAAAGAAAAGUGGUUUCUUACUACAACUACGCUCUUCAUGUCUAGUCAAAGUACUGUCAGACAAUUAAUGAAGCUAGAGUACAUUGUCAACACCCCGUAAAUGUAAAUGUAUCUACCUCAGAGCUCUACUUACCAAGGUGCAUCUGAAGGAAAACAAACAAACAAACAAACAAAAAACCCACCAAAAAAACACCACCAAACAACCACCCUAUUCUGCUUUAGCAAAAGAUUGGCAUUUUAAGAGUACAAAAUUGAACUACAAAUUGCCAUGAUUUUUGGUUUCUUUUUUCCUCAUUUGAAACUUACCUAUUUAUCCAGAGAACUAAUUUAUAUAUAAUAUUUAUAUAAUAAUAUAGCUAAGUUUAUCUUUAUAUGUGGCUACUUUAAGAUUCUUGAAGACCAGAUUAUAUAUGUAUGUCCAUAUCUUUUAAUUAGGGUUGUUUUCACGCAGCUGUGAAAUCACGCAGAUUAUAUAUGUAUGUCCAUAUCUUUUAAUUAGGGUUGUUUUCACGCAGCUGUGUGAACAAACAAAUAACCCAACGAAAGUGAGAAGCAGGUGUUCGGGUCAGUAGUGGGACUUAGGCAUGGCAAUAAUGGCUGCUGUCACAUUGAAUCAUGGGCAUGGAAAUGCCCACAGUAACUCACAAACAGGUUUUUUGGCAUUUGACCUCCUAAUCACGCAGAAGAGCCAAGGGAUUCACAAGAGCCAAUGUGCUGAAGUGAAAGAUACCCUGAGGAAAUAGCUGAUGAAGAGGAAUUUUGGUUUAUGUUUCUGUGUUUGGAGGACUUACAUGUUUAAUGCACCACUGGACACAGAUGCUUAUUUGAAUUUGGGUUUCACAGGCCUUAACUUCUUCUAAAUUUAGAACCAAAAAUCUUAUGGUGACAAAUUAAUUUUUACCACUGUGCCAUUUCUACACUAAUUCAUAAUUCUUACCUGUAGUACAAUCUUUCUUAUAUUAGUUUUUGGAACAAAAUUUCUGCUGCAGAAAUGAUCUGAUCAUAUGUCAACUACAAGCUUCCUAAAGAAAAGAAACUUAGAAAAUGCAAAACAGUAGUGUUAAUUUUUCCCUGUAAGUAUCACAUGAAUUUUAUAUACUGUUAUUGCAAAUGAUGGUUUUCCACUGAAUAUCUUAUAAUUACCUUCUUUGUGAUCCUAAAUUUUAUUUUUAUUUUCAGAAUCUUUAUAACCUGUUGCAUGGCACCAACAUACCAGUUAUUUACAAGAGGAAUAUAUGAGUGAGGUCAAAUGCAGAUUUUUAGCUAUCACAUGUUUCAGGUCUAAAUUUCAGAACAUUAACCGGUUUUAGGCAAAAAAAUAUUUUUUGUACAUUAUAUAGCUAGCUACCUCUGAUUCUCACUCUAUAUUUUGUUGUUUUAUACUUAAUCAAAUGCCAUUUUAUUUUAGGGAUUUGGGGGGGUUCCUUGCCAAUGAAUAACCUAUGAUUUAAUUUAGUUCCCAUAUAGUUCUUAGGACUGUGCUGAUAUAUGAAUAUACAUAGGUUUCACAUAUGUAUGUCUUUAAAAGCUGCACAGUAAAUAGAGGUCACAGUUACAUUACUCAGUAUUACUCAUGAGUAGUUAAAAAGUAUUAUGUUUUUACGUUCAGCACCGAAGCACCCUAUUUUCAUAAAAUUUGCACGUUAUACUGCAGAAAUGUUUUACUGAAAAGACAUUUUGAUAACUGACCAUUUAAACCUUUGUAGACAUUUAAGCCAUAAUAAUUAUGAAAAAAGAAUGAGCAGUUGUUUUUUGGUUAAUGAAUUCAAGACUAAAAGGCCCAAAGGUCUCUGACAGUUGGCAAAUAUUCAGUCUGUCUCACUCCUAUCUUGUUGUCAGCAACAAAUACCCGGCCCAUGUAAAAUUGCCUAAACUAAGAUGUAACUAACAGUUGGAUAUAUGAAAACCAGAUGAUUCCUACAAUAUGUCUUGAAUUUGGGUAUAUAAUAAGUAACAUCAGUCUCAUCAUAAUAAAAAUAGUUUAGAAUUAAAGCUUACAAAAAUUUUGUAUUUCUUUAUGCCUCAGGAAACCAUUCCUUUCAAAAGAAACAUUUCUAUUAAAAAGCAAUUUAUGCGAUUUUUCAUCAUAAUAAAGUACACACUUAUCAAUCUAAGGAAAGCUGUGGGUUUUUAGAAGUAUAAACAUAGUAUUAAAUGACAUAAGGUAUUGUAAUUAUUUUUAAUUAUUAUGUCCAGAGCAGAUAAAUUUGUAGCUGCUACAACAUCUGUGUUUUUAAGCUCCUUAAUUUGAAUAAAUAAAUGAAGUAAAAUCCUCACCUGUCAGUUUGAAGUAUCAUGAGUCUGCUUUCAAAUGAAACAUUUGAACUGGGAAUAACAGAAAAGCAAGUAAGGAAAAAAGCCUAUUAAAAACAACAAUGAAAAACAUCCUGAAAUACUCCAGUGAGUGGAUAAGGAUUUUAUCUAUAUGUCCCAGGGUACAUUUUCACUGUUCAGAUGCAUAAGGUGUAGCAUACCAUUUUGUUCAUUUUCUAUACCUGACAUGCCCUGGCAACACCAAGCACUUAGACAUUGCCUCCUAUUACUAUACAUAUGGUCCGCUUUUUCUUGCAGAGAUGACAAUUACAGAAAUGAUGCUAAAAAAGCACACCUUAAUAAUGAUGAAGCACAAAAUAUACCCAAAGUGUUUAUAGUUGGACAUUAGAAAAGCAGAAGUGAAGCUUAUCUCAUUUUCACGCACUGAUUCACCUGGUAUGGAUGCUGAGAGGCAAAUUGUACACUGGAGUGCAGGAAAAUGCUAUUUCUUAUCGUUUCAGAUUUUUCUUGGUGAUUUUCCAUUCUUCAGAGAUAGGGACCUCAGUCUCCUGAUCACUUGUAUUAAGUCAAUAGCUCCCUUCUGCCUUCUUCAAGAUUUCUCACUAGAAUCUGCUCCAGAGAAACAUUAUGGAUAAGCACAGCAUAAAAUUGUUCAGGUUCCUUCUGCCUGGAAUAGCCUUCCAGCAGUAAGUUCAACAAACCUCCGUAUUAACACAUCGCUGCAGCCUCCCUGACUACUACACACUUGUAUGCAGAAGUGAAGCAGGUACUUGUACACUCAGGCUAUGAAAGCACCAGGGUUCAAGCUGUGGCACAGCCCCAUCAUUUGGCAACCUUUGAACUGAAAAAGAAAAAACCUUACUCUGAGAAAAUGCAGUGUCCAAGAGCCAGAAAGGCCUCACAGAAGUCCUAGUCCAAGAAUUAUGAAAUCUGGCUGGCAACAGACUGUGAGCACAGGCCAGUUGGCCUGAAGACUGCCCUUCUCUCUCAAAAGCAUUAUCAAAGGAUAAUCACAGCAUAUUGCGAUUCACCUUGAAAAUGAAUUAGUCACCCCAGGCAGUGUUUAUCAGUUUGUGGCCUCUUUGCCAAUCAUGAAUGGUAGAUAUGCAGCUCCUUAGACCAUACUACCAUUCCUCUAUUCUUACAGAUGUUAAGUCAGAUUAAAAACCAGAAGGAAAUACAUCAAAUAUUUUUCUAGAGCUACACAAGGGGGCAAGAAUUUCGCAUACCCUCCCUAUGCACUCAGACUAGGGAGAAAAUUUGUGAUCCCCAGUUAAAAUGCCAGCACAAUUAAGUCCAUAGCUGCUAAAUGACGAAGUAGGAUUCAUCCAGCAAAUAUGCUUGUUCAUUGUGGAAGGACACAACACAGCUUGAUAUACCACUGAAUAGUCAUUCCUUCGGAUGCAGCUCCUGGGAGACAGAUGCACAUUCAGAAAAAAGCAGCCAAAACCCACUGCCACCCCCCAAAAACAACUGGGACAUCUGGACUAAGUGUUUUGUUUUGGAAAAGAAAACACAUUGAAGAUGACUGACCUUAUUUUAGAGAAUGCAACUAACUGGGUUUUGGUUUUGAGAUGAAGAGAUGCAGUACAAAAAUGGACACGCAGUUUCUCAGUUGGUACCAAACAAACAGCCUUCAGAUGCAGGGAAAUAUUUCUGCAGGAAAUUGAAAUAUAUUGGUUCUCUGUACAUUUUGAUAGAAGAUUUGGAUAACUACAACAAUUCAUUCAGAAUGCAAAUGUCAUUAAUGUAGUAUCCUCAUGCUGAAGAGUGAACAACAGAUAUGUCACAUCUUUAGAUAACUGAAUGACAGAAGGUGCUGUGAGAAAGGAGUGCGAGUAAAAGAUGAUGUAAUUAGUCAGUAAUAAUGUAAAUAGCAAAAAAUUUUAAUCUCUUUUCAUGUGUGCAUUCUUCACCAUAGUUCUGAAAGGAUACUUAUUUAAUUUAACAUACUGUUAUUACAAAGACAUUGUAUGUAGCCCAAGUAUAUAGAGCUACAAAGAUUAAAAAACAGGCAUUUUUCACAGUAACACUUCGAACAUUUUCAAUGUUAAAAUAAUGUAUCUCCCUGUUUUUCCAUAAAAGUAAACAGUUUACAUAAAACAGGUUUGCUAAUGCAUUGCAUGGACCCAUUUUUAAUACAUAACUCUGUGUGAUCUGUGUGUGUGUGUUGUUCAACUUAAGAUGUGAAGAAGUAUUUUUCAUGUGGGACAACCUGCCUGUUUUUCUGUGUGGUAGCAGAGCAAUGAUCAUGGAAAAAAUUGAUGCAGAGACUCAGCCAAGCUGUUAUACAAAUACAGUUCAUUUAUAUAAUAGCAGAGCUAACUAGAAAAUACAAAGACAAGGGAAAUAUUUGUUGAAGUAACAUAGAAAAACAACUCACCAAUCCUUCAGCUUAUUACACUGAUGCAACUCUUCCAAAAAUCUGUGGGGUUCUACCAGCUUAAUAAAAAUGAAAAUGUCAUUCAUUAUAAGCAAAAUCUGUUUAGAUUUUGGCAGAUCUUGGAGGGACAAAAUUCCCUAUGGAUUUUUAUUAUUAUUAUUAGUGAAGAUACUACACAGUGUUGUCCAAAUAGAAUAAAAAAUACCCAGCUUUUUUUUUUUUCUUUUAAUAAAGUUUCACACUUAAAUUAACAAAAUGAAAACCUCACAGAAUAACAGAAAUAAAAUAACAUUACUGCUGCUGUCUAUAGAAGGCUUUCAAUAGGACAUGUUGAUCAAUAAGCCUACAAUAGGUCGUGAACAUAGUAUUUAGGAAAUGAAAAUACAUUAUGAAAUUAGGCAAUUAAAUAAUUUGCUUGAUAUUAAGACAGAAAUAAAGAAUAAACAGACAAGGUUUCUCUAAACCCAAGAAAAAAUGUCCAGAAUAUGUAUCUACAUCUAUACAGAUACAUUUACAGAUAUAAGAUUUAUUUUUAUUAGGUAUCAAGAUGUACUGGAAGAAAACAUCUGGAAUACUUACAGAGCACAGAGGAAAUAUCUAACAGCCUAAUGAUUCCUAUUUAUUGAAAACAGAAAGAUCUUUUUUGUCAUACCUUUUCUAGAGACUGAACCAAGUAAAAUACUUGUACCAUUGAAAACUGAGACUGCUUACUCCUUCUUAACAGAAUGCAAACUACUGCCAUGGGUGAGAAAGAUGGUGCACUUGAACUUUUGGGUAACAGGUGGCAUGGCAAAACUUCAGGAAGACAAAUAUCUAGGAGGCAUCUAGCAAAAAAAAAAAAAAGAGAGCAUAGUGUGUAUAGUGUACAUAGAAAUUGCUUAUACAGCAGGUGCAUUCCAUUUGUAGACUGGGGAAAUGCAGAUACCACUGUGCCUUAUCAAGGUUAAAUGCUUUAAUUCUUCUCUCCCUUGCAUGCAUUUUACAUUUCUGUGGUUUGUUUUGUUUCUGUAUAGUUUUUCAAUUUAUAUAUAUGUAAAAAACAAAACAAAACAAAACAGACCUAUUUUUUCUCUAUAGUUGGAUAUGGAGAAACUCAGUUUAUACUUUGUCUUAAGGACACUGAUUCUGUCAUCAAGCUAAACAGAAAAAUGGGCUAAAAUUGGUUACUUUGAGUUUCAUGCUUAGAGAAUUUCAACUGCGGGGCACUUCCUGGGAAUUACUUAUUAGAGAGGUCUGAGACAUUAUACUUGUCUACCCAAACCAUCUCAGCAUCUCAUAGCUUCUCAAUGUCACCUGCCUCCUCAAACACAAAAUGCAUGGGGCUAGUUGUGAAAACUGCUGCAGUAAGGUUUGAUCCUACUCCCAUUUCAAAAACAGUGUGAAAAAUAAGUAGGACUAUUUUAUUGUACAGUAUUAUGGUAGCUGGCAACCUGAGUUGUGCUAUGAUCUAGUGACACUUAAUAGCCUUUCAUACUCUGCACGUAUAGCUAAUCCUGGAAACCACGUGAGAUGUGACUACAAAGACUGAACAGCCUGUGCACUUGGCAUUGCUUCUACCCUAUUUUUUCACACUCUAUUUCUCAUUGAGAAAACAAACAAACAAGCAAACAAGAAUUUUCAGUCUGUAACAUAAUAGAAAUGCUUGUACAAGCUCAAGCAGCUAGAUAAGCUGAUUAUUUUGUUCAAGUGUCAGCUUGUUUUCAGCUGCUGUCAAACAUUUUGUCACACUAGAUGCCCAUUAUAUCUGUUACAUGGUGAAAUGUUUCAGUACAUAAAAAACAAGGUGCAUGAUUUUCUCUUAUCUUUGGAAUCACAAAAGACCUUUUCAUGAUAGCUGUGUUUGCUACACCCCCUGCAGUUCACUUCAAAGUUCCUCUUAUAAUAUUUUUUCUCAUGCUCAUGUAUAUACUUUUCAAAGUUACCACAUCUCUAACAAAGCCAUGUUGUUUUCUUUGCUCACUUUUGCUUUCCAUUUUGCUAAAUAAAUCUACUCCAAUGGCUAAAAAUUUGCAAUGUACUUUAUGUUGUAUACUGGUGACGCAAAGAAAACCUACUCCUUUUAUUAACUUUUUGUGUAUUUCAUUGCCUUUUAAGAUGCCUGUCUCGAGAAGCUUGCUUAAAUAUAAGUACUGGUUGCAAGUGUGCUGAUCACCUAAACAGCAACACUACUUGCUUCACAAAGGACUCUUUUACUCUAGUUCAUGGCAAAAUCAUUUUCUUCCAGAUUCUCCCUUCUUUCCACCCCUUAAUGUCCAAUUUUUUUCUCCCUGUUUCCUUAUGACAACAUGAAA
This is a long non-coding RNA of Columba livia (rock pigeon), 7985 nucleotides long. RefSeq lists it as uncharacterized. The transcript has 3 exons. NCBI's taxonomy places the organism in Eukaryota, Metazoa, Chordata, Aves, Columbiformes, Columbidae. The record is from RefSeq and is a predicted model, not a curated record.